UACGUAGGGGGCUAGCGUUGUCCGGAUUUAUUGGGCGUAAAGAGCGUGUAGGCGGCCAGGUAGGUCUGCUGUGAAAACUCGAGGCUUAACCUCGAGAUGUCGGCGGAAACCAUCUGGCUAGAGUCCGGAAGAGGAGAGUGGAAUUCCCGGUGUAGCGGUGAAAUGCGCAGAUAUCGGGAAGAACACCCGUGGCGAAGGCGGCUCUCUGGGACGGUACUGACGCUGAGACGCGAAAGCGUGGGGAGCGAACAGG
RNAcentral lists this ribosomal RNA (253 nucleotides) under uncultured bacterium. Its description in RNAcentral is "partial 16S ribosomal RNA". It matches the Rfam family "Bacterial small subunit ribosomal RNA", at positions 524 to 776 of the family's 1533-position model. The record is from RNAcentral.